This 26526-nucleotide long non-coding RNA is filed under the name Vitis vinifera (wine grape). RNAcentral's name for it is "long non-coding RNA (VVIN_LNC000815)". Lineage: Eukaryota; Viridiplantae; Streptophyta; Magnoliopsida; Vitales; Vitaceae. The record is from RNAcentral.
UUAGCCUAGCGGCACGUCGUCUUUUGGACACUACUCCGCCCUCUGCGCCAACGAUACCUGUUAUACCCAGUCUGCCAAAACCAACGUUGCCACCUUUGCCUUCAUCACUCCCAACUCUGCCGACUUUGCCUUCACUCCCAACUCUAUCCAACCCUUCAAUUCCUCCUUUGCCGUCUCUUCCAACUAUGCCACAGCCCACAUUGCCAUCCUUGCCGAAGGCCACACUGCCUCCACUUCCUAGCAUGCCCACCAUGCCCACCAUUCCCUCUAUCCCGAAUCUCACGUUGCCUCCACUGCCAACAACUUUGCCAACCAUCCCCACGAUUCCCACAAUCCCAACUACUAUGCCUUCGAUCCCAUUUCUCUCCCCCCCACCGGCGACCACUAGUCCUUGAGAAUAUUCAUGUACUCUCCUAAGAAGACACAGUGCCACUACAGUUGGCUAUCUCUGAAGGUCUCUAUUUUUAGUGCUCGUUCGGGGAGCUAUUUUGAGGCUUUUCAACCUUUUCAUAUCAUUUGAAUUUAUGUAUCUGAGCAUUGUUAGUUCCUUCUUUUGUUUCUGCGUUUAUAUGUAUGAUUUGGGGUUUUCAUACCACAGUGGAUUAUUAUUUUUAUGGUCUUCCUUCUUUCACUGUGUUUUAAGACCUAAAAUCUGGAAUAAGCCUCGUUUGACAGCUGAGAAAUUUGUAUUACGAGUUCAGAAAAAUAAUAAUAAGAAAUUCUUAUGGCCUUCCUUUUAAAAUAAAGAAUUGCAAAAACUACUCAAAGAAAAGUCAAUAAAUUAAAAUUUAGGCAAAUAAGUCCUUAAAUAUAAAAUUUUGAAGACACCAAAUCCAAAACAAUUCAUUAAUGUUUUCAAGACCUCUAGCGUCCUAACAAUCAGCCAACCGAUCAAGGCCAAAACUGGCCCAAACUGGACAGCCACUAAAAGCCCAAACCAGUUGGGCUUAAGAGGGUUUAAACGAGCACCAAAGUCCAACCCAAUGUGAAGGUAUUUGUACCUGCAUUUAGUUAGUGGUUCUCUUCGGAUAUGGGAUUUGUUUCCAGGUGGUAAGGAAAAGGCUGUACAUAUGUUGCAGGAGAAUUUGAACUACUAACCUCCAACUUUAAAAGCAAGGGUGAGGCCAUUGAGCUAUACAUUCAUGUGUAAUAGUGCUGUAAAACUAAAUAUAUAGCAAGAUUAAUAUUUUUUUUUAUAAAUAAAAUUCAUGUAGAUAUUUAUAUUCAUGUUUAUUUUUAUAAUAAUAAUUAUGAAAAUAAUAUAAAUAAUUAAUACAAUAAAUUUAAAAUAAUAAAAUAUAAAAAUAAGGAGAUAAAUUAAAUACCAUGAUUUUAUAUUCAUCUUAAACGUAUCUUUAUAUUUAAAUGUUAUACAUGUUCUAUUUAAUAAAGCUUAAAUUAUUAAUAUAUUUAUAUUUAUUUUAACUUGACAUAUUUAAUAUAAAAUUGAAAUAUUAUUAAAAUUUUUAAUUAUAUAUUUUUAAUUUCUUAUAAUUAUUGUUUUAUUUCAUAUAAUAUAUAAAUUAUAUAAUUAUUACAUCAUCAGGUGGACCACAAUCAACCCAAUGAAUUAUGAAUUGAAAAUUUUUUUUAUUUAAUAAUUAGUCUGAUUUUAAAAACAUUGUUAUUUUAUACCAAUUGUGGCACUACCUCCUCAAUUUACGCCCAUACUCUUCCGUAGGGAUGUGUGGACCAUUUGCUUCUUGCAAGUUGCAACCAAACACAAGGAUAAUGACUCGAACUAGCAAUGAGAUAUAAUGGAUUCAAAAGAUACGAUAGAUGCAUAAUUUACUCCCAAACCAAAAAGUUGAUAUAUAUAGAAUUGACUUAAAGGACAUUUAACCUCAAUAAUGCUUAAAAUACCUUGUACACAAAUUUUUAUUGAAGAAACAUGUUGAUUAAAUUUCAAUUUAAUUAAUUUGAUUGAUGAGAUAUAAUCUCUAGAAUCCUCUCAUUUUUCUUUUGUAAUUGAUUAUAGAGAACAAAUUUAAAUUGGGCUUUUUGGUGCAUUUUGGUUCUACGCUUAGAUUUUGGCUUGACUUAGGCCUAAUUGGGGUUUGGCUUUGCUUAGACUUGAUUGGACUUCAGUUUGAAUGACACUCACUCGGGACGCAAACACUUAACCUCCAAUUAAAGAUAUCUUGAACUUAAAAUCUAAAUAUUAAAACUCAAUCUUCGAAUAUUUGAACUUGGUAUUCAAAUCUUGGAAGACUUGAUCUUUGAGUUUUUAAAGGCUUAAUCUUUGAAUCAUUGAACUUCUUCUUUGAAUCUUUAACCUUAGUUUUUGAAUAUUCAAAGGCUUUGAAACAUUUCUUAAAUUUUCAAGGUGAACUUUCUCUAACUCUUCUCAAGAAGCCUUCUUACGUCUUCUCAUGUGAUUUUGAAAAUUAAGGAGAGCACCUGUUUACAUGGGUUAAGACGGACAAACUUAGAUAAUUUUCUUUCUUCCAAUAUUAUUCUUUGGUUAAUAUUAAUAUUUAAAGAGAUUUUGAAACAUAUUUGGAUAAUCCUCACUUUUAAAAUAUUAUUCGUUAAUUAAAAAUUAAUAUUUAGGAAACUUGACAAAGAGUAUUUGAAUACAGUUUAAUUUAAUUUUUAAUGAGAAUUGAUACUUACUUUGCAAUUAUCAAAUUCACAAUUUUUAUUAGCUUUGACAAUUAUAUUUUAAUUACUAAAUUAUUAUUUGUAUUUCUUUAUGUAAUUUGAAGACAACGGUCUUCCCUUUGUGUGGGGUCAUAUGUCACAUGUUAUAAUUAAGGAUAAAAAAUAUCUCAAUUUCGACAGAUAUAUAGGUAACUCAGUUUUAUGGAUAUGUUGGGAGGGAAAUAUUGUUGGAUAUUUUGACAUAAAAUAUUGAUGAGAUGAAAAAAAAAAUGAUCAAAAGUCAUGAAAAAGUAGUUGAGAAAAACUUUUAGAAAUAUAAUAUAUUUUUUAACGUUGUUUUAUUAGAUAAAUUGAUAUAUGUAUAAUAUAAUUUGUGAUAUUAAAUUUAAUUAUCUCAAAUGGGUUAAUAAGAAAUAUGAAUUUUGUAAGUGUACACUCAUUAUUAAACUACAUUAAAGAUUUGAUUUCAUUAAAUCUUAAUAAUUUGUACGUAUUACAUUAUAAUGAUAUUUUAGUAUCAAAAUGAUGAUCGAUGUUGUUUAAUGGAGUUGUUAGAGGAAAGAUUCUCAUCUUAUUGGAGGCAAUAUUGAUACCUACUCACUAAAUCUUGAUAGUAAUGAUUAAAAUCUGGGAUUUUUGGCUCACUCUAAAAUAUUUUCAAGCCUUGUAUGAUUUUUUGGACUUAUUAAAUGUAUCAAAGAAUUUUUAUUUUGAUUAAAAAGCCUCCUCCAAGCUUAUGAAUUAAAUAGGUUUUUCAAGAUAUCCACAUUUUACCAUGUUUUUUACACUCAAAAUGUUUUUAUAAAUCUAUUUUAGCUUGUGGGUUUUUAACUACUUUUUGUAUUUUUUUUUCUAUAUUUAUACUUCUUAAGUAAGGCUUUAGGCUUUGAUUUCACUCAAAAAUCAUUUUCAAAGCUUGAGAAUUAAGUGCAUCUUUCCUUGUUUACUAUAUUGACCUAAAUCUGGCGUUAUGAAAUAUUCUUCAAAAUCUAGGAUUAUUGAUGCAUGAUUGAGCUUCAUAAGUAUUUUUCAUGUAAUCUAGACACUUUAAAUAUGCUAUUUAUUUUUUGGUUUGAUUUUAUCUCAUGUCUAGGCUUGUUAAAUAAAUUCUUAUUUGAAUGAUGUAUUGUUCUACCUUGUUUCUAAGCAAUAAUAUAUUUGGUUAAAUCUGAGAUAAUUUGUGCAUGUUUAAGAACUUUAGGCUUUGGGGUUGUAUUACAAACACUUUGAGCAUGUUUACAAUGUUUUAUUUGAUUUUAUUUCAUCUCUAAUUAUUUUAUUUGGAUUUAUUUUGUAAGCACCCAUGCUCUAUCUUGUUACUUUAUAUCUUGUAUAAAUGUGCUAUUCCAAUCCCUUUGUGCAUGCUUUUGACCUUCUUUGAUUAUUGAUUUAUAUUAUAGGAAUCUUGUACAUGUUAGAUCAGCUCACCUUUGUAUCAUAUUUCCCUUUUAUCUAUUUUAUUUGGAUUUAUUUUGAGAUUGCAUACUUGCUACCAAUUUUGAAUCCUAUGCAUGUUUAGUGCAUCUUAACUUACUUUACUUCUAGUUUAGCCAUAUUUACUUCUUGAUUUUAGUUGUAUAUAUGUUUUAUAUGUUUGGUAGCCAUAUGUCAUAUCAUGCUUUGUGAAUUAAAUCUUGCUCUCUUAUGUAAGCGCAUUACACUGUUUUUGACAUUAUUGAAGUAUGCUUCCUUCCUUCUAUGAUUAUUUGUUCUUUGAUAUACAUGUCAUGCUCUUAAGUGCUUUUGUUUUUUUAUCACCAUUGCCUUGUGUAUAUUCUUAUUUUUGUCUCCUGAUAUCCAUUGGUCUAUCAUUCAAUUGCCUUAACUCCCUCCACUUGUUUAGUAAAGAUCUCUUUAGGGUUGAAAUGAGUGUUAUCCUACGGUACAUUCCCAAUAAGUAACUUUAUCUUUGGACGUGAACUCGAUUUUCAUAGAUAUGUUUUUCCAUUCAAAAGAGUUACUCUUAGGGUUUUACUUCUUAUUUUAUUUUUAUUUUUAAAAAUAAACAAAAAUAAGCGGCAACUCUAACUUUUUCAAAAAUCAAAUUUUCACAAUAAAAAAUGGGUUUCACUGUCUAAUGAGAACGCACAUGAAAAAUGUAGAUUCACACCAGUUUCGACUGUAAACAAGUCAUUUACUUGCAAGGAACCUAUGACUUGAAUCUUCUGUGUAACUCCUAAUGCACCCAAGUCACGUACAAGGCAAGAGAUCUAGGCUAGAAUGCUUACAAGUAUAAUGCAUAAAAUUAUGAUAGAUAAAAGUGAAUAGAUCUAGAAAAUUUUAUUUAUAAAUAAUAAAUAACCAAAUUCAAAAGAUUUGGUUCUCCUUAGAAUUGAUAAAGUUCAUCUUUAGAAACUCCCUUAGAUGUCUCAUCACUUCAUCAAUAAAUUACUCCGCCUUUUAGGUUGAUAGGAGUGUUGAUUGAUAUGAGAUUGUUCCAUUGUAUUUGGAAUUCUCAUCACGAUAAUUCCAUAAAUUUGUUUGGAUUGCUCUUUUUUCUUGAUCUAUGUUGUUAGAAUUAAAGGUCAUUCUUUAGCAAGAUUGUCUAUCCAUUUGAAUAAAUUAUUUUCAUCGAAAAUUCUGGCAUAGAUGUAUUGCAAAUAGUCAUUUUACUAGAAAGGUUAAAGUGAGCCAAAAAUUUUGUACUAAUUUCUCGAAUGAUUCAGGAAAGAGAAACCACAACUUUUAAACAAGAAAAAGAGAUAAAUAAAGAAGAUUCCUACUUUUGAAAUUAAACCUAUGAAACGAUGAAAAGGGAAUAAGAAGACAUUAUACAUCCAUGAGAAAUUGCAACAUUAGUGAAACAUCUUUAUUAAUUGUUAUUGUUAUGGAUUCAUUUAGUGCAAACACUUAUCAAUUACCCUGUAAUGACUAGGUAUUUUAGGUUGCGUUGGAAUUUCAAGUUUUAAAAUUCCUCAAUUUGGCGUGGUUCAAAAGUAAAAAAAUAAAAUAAAAUAAAAAUAAAAUAAAAGGUAAUUGGAGAAUACGUGUCAAUUUGGAUCGGCGGAAUUCAAAAGAUUUUAUUGAUCAAUCAAGCGAGUUGAAUUUUGUAUCACGUCAAUCUUUAAUAGGAAAUUUAUUAGGAUCAUAGAAAUUGAAAAUUUUCGGCAACAAUAAACGAAAUAAAUAAAUAAAUAAAUAAAAUAAUUAAACUAAUUAAUUAAAAAUUAAAUUAAAUUAAUUAAUAAUAAAUUAUAGAAUAGUUAAAUAUUUGUGUUGGUGUGUGAUAAUUUAUUUUGAGUGUUGUAAAUAAAUAAAAAAUACAAAAUGAAAAAUUAAUUAAGGAAAUGAAAUUGAAUUUAAAAAACAAAACAAAACAAAACAAAAGAAUAAAAAAGAAGUAAAUGAAUAAACAAAUAAGGAUUUGGGGUCUUGGGGCAACCGACCACUUUAAGUGGCUUAGGUUAAAAAGAAAAAGAAAAGAAAAGGAAGAAAGGAAGGAGAAAGAGAAAAAAGAGGUUGAGUGGCAGUGAGUUGCGGACUACAAGGGAGAAAGCGCUGUCAUUCUUUGUUUAAUGAUUUCGAUGGCCAAACGAGCUCCAUUUCGUGUGGUAUCAAAGCCAAGGUUGCAAUAAUACCUUGGGGUCAGUGUGUGUUUGUGUGUAUUGUUAUGUUUAUGAUUUGCUAUAUGUAAUUAGUUAAUGAGCUGAUUAUUAAUUUAUUUAUUUAAUUAUUUAUUCUUUGUGUUUGAAAAAUCUUAUUAUGGUGCUUGUUGAUAAUAGUAAGAAAUGUUAUGGUGUUAAUUAUGUUGAAUUAUGUAUUAUGAUUGUAUAAAAAUGGAAGUUUUUAAUAAGUAUUGAAGUUGCUAAAUUGUUAUAUGUGAAUUUAUUUUGCUCACCUUGAAAGUGUGGUUGGAUUAGGGCUUGUUAGGAUUUGAAAUGGCGGGAAGGUCAAGAAGAGGAAGGACUGAAAGAGAUGAGGAGCUAGAGUUAGUAAGGGAGGAGCUCUGGGAAGUUAGAAGGGAACUACAAGAGAUUGCUCAAUUAAUGAGAGGCCAACGUUCCAGGAGGUCAAGGGGUUCCCAAGGGUUGGAGGAUUUUGACCACUUCUAGAGGAGGGGCCACUCUGCUAGUCCAGUAAUGAGCCAGAUGGAGGCAAUGAAGAGAUUUAUGGUAAUGCAACCUCUAUCUUUUAAUGGAGAACCAAAUGUUGAAGUAGCAGAGCACUGGUUGAGUAGCAGAGCACUGGUUGAGUAGCAGAGCACUGGUUGAGUAGCAGAGCACUGGUUGAGGCGCAUGAAGAGAAUAUUGGUGGGGUUGGAUAUACCCGAGGAGAGGAAGGUUAGCCUGGUAGCAGACAUGCUAGUAGAUAAAGCAAAUUUUUGGUGGGAAUCAAUGAAGAGGGUGUAUGACAUUGAUGUGAUGACUUGGAAGGAAUUUGAAAGGCUAUUUUUGGAUAUAUAUUUUGGAGAGGUGGCUAAGCAUGCCAAGAGGAUGGAAUUUGAGCACCUCAUCCAUAGAACUAUGUUAGUACUAGAGUAUGAAUCUCGUUUUUUGGAGUUGUCUAGAUUUGCCAUGGGGAUGAUUAGUGAGAAAGGAGAGAAGUCUAAGAGAUUCCAACAAGGGUUAAGGCCUACUAUUAGAAAUAGAUUGGUCCCACUAGCUAUAAAGGACUAUUCUAAGUUGGUUAAGAGAUCUUUAUUAGUGGAGCAAGACAUAGAGGACACAAAUCAAAUUUGAGAACAAAGAGGAGAUAGAAAAGGGAAACAAAAAGUGGGGGAAAGUUCCCAAAGGAGGUCCCAGCAUCAACAACAGAGGCAACGAGGCCAGCAAUAUGAGGGACAUUCUUCGUUCUAUGUUGGAGGUGAGCAAGGUGCUCAGAGGGCGGCUACUGCUAGAGUAUGUUAUGGUUGUGGAGCAGGAAAUCAUUUAUUGAGGGCUUGUCCCUUAAGGGACGCACCGUAUGCUCGAUUUCAGCUUCAAGGAGGCCCUCAACAGCAGCCAACAUUGCCUUUCCAAUCCCCUCAAUUUCACCUACCCUACUACCAAAUGUCGCAGUUACCCCCAACAGUGCAAGGAGCCUGGACAACCACUAUGAGUAGUCAGACUCGAUCUUCUCAAGGGUCGAGUGCUAGAGGCAGGGGGAGUGAUUACUACCAAAAAGUGCUAUUUUGUAGACCUAAUUAUAAUGGUUUUAAGCACCUUUGAGUAGUAAUCAUAUUCAUUUAACCCAAUUAAUUCAUUAAGGUCCUUAGUAAUUGGUUUUAACCAUUUUGUGGCAAGUUUACAUGUUUUUAUCAGCUUCUGAAUCGAUUCAAGCAUGCCAAUUGAUGGAGGUGCUAUUUGGGCGAGUUAAUAAAGGAUUUUGGACGAUUACAGGUUUGAAUUUCAAGUGGAAACACGAGCACAAGCAAUGGAGAAGAGGAAAACAGAGUGAAGAAAACAGCUUCAGUCUUCUUUCGCACUUUUGAAGCACUUCCUGAAGUCCAUUUUUUGCAUUCUAUAUACCAUUUGAAAUCUUAGGAAGUCAAGAAUCCAACGCUUCAAACCGUGUAUGAUUUGGAGCUGAAAUGAGGAAAAUAUGGCCUUCGGAAGACAACUGCAUCAUGUCAAAUGACCAAUUUCGCAAGGAGAUUUUCUUCAUGGUGCGAAAUUUGGCCACUUCACACCAUGAAGAACCCCCUUGCGAAAUUUCGCAAGGUGGAUUUAGGCACCUUGCGAAAUACCUCUGAAAUCCCCUAUUUUGAGACGGUGUUGAUGAUAUUCCACUGCUGGUUCUCCAAGAUAUUUUGCUUGAUUUUUAGCUUUGUAAAUACCUAUUUUACCCUUGUAAUCAACCAAUGAAUAGGUUGUUUUUGUAAUAGCUCUUGUAAUUUAGCUUGUUAUUGUCUUUAAAUAGAGGUGAAGAGCCUCAGAUGAAAAGAAUCUUGUAACCUGUAACUUUAUAAGUUAUAAGAGCACUUUUGUUCAUACGUUUCUUUUCUCUUUUCUUUCUCAUUUUCUUAGUAGCCAAACAUCCUUGGAGGAUGAAAUCCCCAAGGAUGAGAGGUUAAAACCUUUUAGUUUCUUGAAGUAAUGGAUGCCAUGCGAAGCUCCCGUGUCAGGAUGGAGAUUUCCAAGCCAUGAAUGUAAGUAGCUGAGCGUCAUAAAUGUUUUCAUUCAAAGUAAGGCUUUUAAUCCCUCUAACUUGCUUUGAAUGGCCAAUACUUGAUAACCUUUUGGUCUCAGUGGAUUCUUAUUGUUAGAUCCACUGACGUUCAUUAGUUAUCUCCUACGAGCCAUUGUAUUGCAAGUCGAGGAGAUGACCUAUAUCAUUAAAAGGGCAUUUAUGAGGUUCAGCUACCCUUUUUGUAAGUUUUCAAGGACUAAAACUCAGUUGUUAAACUCAUACCGGUUCGGGAAGUAAGCACCACCUUAGUUGCUUCCCCAACUCGAGGUGAAAAGUCCCAAAAUCUCCAUUUUUACACAGUGAGUUAAGCAUGGCUAUCCAAAGCUUUGAGAAACUUCUUUUUCCAUCUUUUAACCUAUUUUCAUGUUAGUUUAGUUUACAACACCUUUAUCUUUUUAUGUUUUCAUCUUAACCUAAUUUUUAUUAAGAAAAGUUCACUCCAUCCUCCGAACUUCACCAGUUAAAGUAAAAACCCUUCCCAGUGUUCGAUCCUAGAGCCACUAUGCUAUAGUAGCUUUGCUACUUUACUAUAAGGACCUUAGGUAUAAAUUUUGUGGUACCCUUACAUGCCAAGCUACCAAGAGUCGGGUCAUCAAAUGGCGCCGUUGCCGGGGAAGGUGCUACUUCACUGUGAAUACAUCAGCCAGAGGUAACUUGUGAGACUUCUCAUGAGUAAGGUGAAUUCUAUCUCAUUUUCCUUUUACUAAUUUUUUUUAUUUUUAUUUUUUAUUUUUCUUUCUUCAUGUGUUAGUAUAUCUUUUAUUUAGUUAAUCUUAAUAAUUUUCUUUUUUCUUUAGAAUUUUAUUUUCUUUUAUUUUCUUUUGUUUUCUUUGUUUUUAAUUCACAAAUUGCUAGUUGUGCAUGCCAUAUUGAAUAUGAGAUAGCAGAGGAAGCCAUGAACUUCAUCAGUUAUGUGGCUGAAUUUUCAAGAGAAUGGGGUGAACCAAAUGCUAGAGAUAUGGGAAGAAUGGCGUCUCAACCUAAAGCUAAGGGUGAGAUGUAUAUUUUGAAUGAUGGCAUGGACAUGAAGGCAAAGAUUGCAGCUAUGGAAAGGAGAUUGGAAGAGCUAGAAAUGAACCAAAUGCAAGAAGUGCAAGCUAUCUCUCAGACACCAUUGCAAGCUAUGCUUUGUGCCAUUUGUCAGUCUUUUGAGCACUUGGUGGAGGAGUGUCCUAUCAUUCCAGUGGCGAGAGACAUGUUUGGUGAUUGCAACACCUAUAAUUCAAGCUGGAGAAACCAUCCAAAUUUUUCUUGGAAACCAAGGCCAUCUCCAUACCAACCCCAAGCCCAAACCCAAGCACCUCAACAAACCUCUUCAGUGGAGCAAGCCAUUGUGAACCUAAGUAAAGUCAUGGGUGACUUUGUGGGUGAACAAAAGGAAAUCAACUCCCAAUUGCACCAAAAGAUUGAGAAUGUUGAGAGUUCUCAAAUUAAGAGGAUGGAUGAAGUGCAAAAUGAUCUAUCUCAGAAGAUAGAUAAUCUCCAAGAUUCAAUCUCAAGGUUUGCCAACCUCAACACAAUGCAAGAGAAAGAAAACUCUUCUUCUCAACCUCAUCAAAAUCAAAAGGGUAUCCAUGAAAUGGAGGCUAAGGAGGGAGAUAAAGAGGUUGAUCUGCCCACAUGCAAGCUAGAGCACAAGGAAGAAAGUGAAACAGAGAAAGAAAAGAGGGAGAAAAUCAAAGGAAAGAAAAAUGGGAAAAGUACAGAGGAAGAUGGCUAUGAUGUUAAUGUACAAGGAGCACCACAAAGGAUAGUCAUCAAGGAAGAAAUGAUGAAGAAUCACAUCCCUCCACCUUUCCCCCAAGCUUUGUAUGGCACCAUCAUACAAAGCAAGUCUCAAGUGAGGGAUGCAAACUUCAUAUGGGAUCCGGGCAAGCUAAACCAAGGAUCAAAUUUUUUGAUGGACUUAGUCUUUUUAAAGACUAGCUAGUCCAUAUCUUUUUUGUUUUAUUACUAGUUUUGAUUUUGAUUUUUUAUGUUUUUAAUGGAGCUUUGAUGUCCAAUAGCAGGUACGAAAGCUCACAAGCUCACAAAUGUGGAAAGAAAGGUGAAAUAGGGGAGAAAUAUACCUAAGUCCAAGCUUAAAAGCCUAUUUCGCAAGGUGAAUUUCACCUUGCGAAAUGCACAUUUUGGCAAGAUGCAAAAUGCACAUUUUGGCAAGAUGCAAAAUGCAACCUCUUGGGAUUGCACUUUCGCAAGGAGUAACCAGUGCGAAAAUUUUCGCAAGUCAUUUUUCACCUUGCGAAAUUGUUUUCAAAGCAAAUAUCAAAAUGCAACCUCUCGAGAUUGGUUUUUAAGGGGAGUAGCCAGUGCGAAAAUUUCGCAAGGUGAAUUUUCACCUUGCGAAAUUUCCAGCACUCCGCCAUGCUCUCUCAGAUCCACCAUCACCUGGGCAUAUCACUUCCUCCACCUCAGGAGCCACAUCCAUGAUUGGAUAUUUCUAUCUCCAUUUUGUAUAUGUUUUUUUUGUAUAUGUACAUGUUUUAUAUUCUGAGAUUGUAUGUACCUCAUGCUUAUAUCUUGUACUCAACUCUCUCAGUUUAUAUAAGCAUCAUUUUUUGUAUCUUAUUUCCUCUCUCACGUUUCUUAUGGUUUUUGAAUCAUAUGGAUGCACUCACACGCCUUGAAUACCACAUCACCAUAAGGUAUAUCAUUCCUUCCUCGUCUUUUUCGAUAGAAACAUUGGGGACAAUGUUCAUCUCGGUUGGGGGGAGAGUUGAGGAAGUAAGUAUUUCCUAUUUUAGUUAGUUAUUUUGUUGAUUUAGUAGUUUUUGCCCUUUUUCAAAAUUUUUUGUUUCAUUCUCUAUGGUUGUUAAAGAUAAUUUCUCAAAAUAAAAUAGGAUAAGUCGAGUUUUAACUUAAUUACUUAAGUCUUAGAGUUUGUUUUAUGCUUUCAAAGUUGAUAAUCUAUUGAAGCCCUCUUUGAUUUCGAACUUAUUUAUUCCAUUUCAAGCUUUACACACACCGUGCACAUUAGAUCCCGGAUUUAUGAUGUAAAACUUUCUCACCCUCUAAGCUUAGGAAAAUUUUGACUUGGUUUAUUACUUAACCUCUUUUUAAUAGUGUUGGGACACCUCAAAAAGACCAAUGAGUCUUAGAAAAAGAAAAAAAGAAAAAGAAAAAGGAAAAGAGAAAAAGAAAAAGAAAAAGAGAAUAAGCUUCUAUUCUUUCCUUGAAACCUAAGCAUGAUCCGAAGGGGUGGCGAAAGCCUUUAAAACCCGAUGCCCUAAACCUUGAUUGGUUGGGAGUCAUCGAUCCUCUGCUUGCUAUAUAGGUGAAUUGGUUAAGUUUAGUGAGUGAAAAGAAUUGUGAAUAAGAAGGUGCGUUCCUAACCUAUUAAGAGUUGGUUAAUUUUGCCAAUGUUCGAGAAAAGCUUAGGUUGGGGGGAGAGGAUAGUUGUACAUACUAUAUCCGGAAGCUAAUCUCAUUAACACUUAGCUCAUUAUGGAAGAGUUUGAUCCGGAACCUUGAGAGUAGAGAUUCUUUUGAUACUUAAUUGCAUAAUCUUCACUCUUUGUACUUUUUGUUUAAGUUUUAGCUUUGACAACUACUAUUGCAUUUUGAAUCUUCAUAUCUUUAGUUCACCAUGUGAGAUGUGUUUUGAUAUCAGUCAUGCCACUCAAUUAUUUUUUGGAGUGAUUUGCAUGAUCCCUUUUAUGUAUAUUAUUAUAGUUUACUUAGUUUUUAUCUCCUCCAUUGCUAAGGGACUAGCAAUGAGUCGGUUGGGGGGUGUGAUUACUACCAAACAGUGCUAUUUUGUAGACCUAAUUAUAAUGGUUUUAAGCACCUUUGAGUAGUAAUCAUAUUCAUUUAACCCAAUUAAUUCAUUAAGGUCCUUAGUAAUUGGUUUUAACCAUGUUGUGGCAAGUUUACAUGUUUUUAUUAGCUUAUGAAUCGAUUCAAGCAUGCCAAUUGAUGGAGGAGCUAUUUGGGCGAGUUAAGCAAGGAUUUUGGAUGAUUAUAGGCUUGAAUUUCAAGUGGAAACAUAAGCACAAGCAAUGGAGAAGAGGAAAACAGAGUGAAGAAAACAGCUUCAGUCUUAUUUUGCACUUUUGAAGUACUUCCUGAAGUCCACUUUUUGCAUUCUAUAUACCAUUUGAAAGCUUAGGAAGUCAAGAAUCCAACGCUUCAAACCGUGUAUGAUUUGGAGCUGAAAUGAGGAAGAUAUGGCCUUCGGAAGACAACUGCAUCAUGUCAAAUGACCAAUUUUGCAAGGUGAAUUUCACCUUGCGAAAAUUUCGCAAGGAGAUUUUCUUCAUGGUGCGAAAUUUAGCCACUUCGCACCAUGAAGAACCCCCUUGCGAAAUUUCGCAAGGUGGAUUUAGGCACCUUGCGAAAUACCUCUGAAAUCCCCUGUUUUGAGACGGUGUUGAUGAUAUUCCACUACCGGUUCUCCAAGAUAUUUUGCUUGAUUUUUAGCUUUGUAAAUACCUAUUUUACCCUUGUAAUCAACCAAUGAAUAGGUUGUUUUUGUAAUAGCUCUUGUAAUUUAGCUUGUUAUUGUCUUUAAAUAGAGGUGAAGAGCCUCAGAUGAAAAGAAUCUUGUAACCUGUAACUUUAUAAGUUAUAAGAGCACUUUUGUUCAUAUGUUUCUUUUCUCUUUUCUUUCUCAUUUUCUUAGUAGCCAAACAUCCUUGGAGGAUGAAAUCCCCAAGGAUGAGAGGCUAAAACCUUUUAGUUUCUUGAAGUAAUGGAUGCCAUGUGAAGCUCCCGUGUCAGGAUGGAGAUUUCCAAGCCAUGAAUGUAAGUAGCUGAGCGUCAUAAAUGUUUUCAUUCAAAGUAAAGCUUUUAAUCCCUCUGACUUGCUUUGAAUGGCCAAUACUUGAUAACCUUUUGGUCUCAGUGGAUUCUUAUUGUUAGAUCCACUGACGUUCAUUAGUUAUCUCCUACGAGCCAUUGUAUUGCAAGUCGAGGAGAUGACCUAUAUCAUUAAAAGGGCAUUUAUGAGGUUCAGCUACCCUUUUUGUAAGUUUUCAAGGACUAAAACUCAGUUGUUAAACUCAUACCGGUUCGGGAAGUAAGCAUCACCUUAGUUGCUUCCCCAACUCGAGGUGAAAAGUCCCAAAAUCUCCAUUUUUACACAGUGAGUUAAGCAUGGCUACCCAAAGCUUUGAGAAACUUCUUUUUCCAUCUUUUAACCUAUUUUCAUGUUAGUUUAGUUUACAACACCUUUAUCUUUUUAUGUUUUCAUCUUAACCUAAUUUUUAUUAAGAAAAGUUCACUCCAUCCUCCGAACUUCACCAGUUAAAGUAAAAACCCUUCCCAGUGUUCGAUCCUAGAGCCACUAUGCUAUAGUAGCUUUGCUACUUUAGUGUAAGGACCUUAGGUAUAAAUUUUGUUGAUACCCUUACAUGCCAAGCUACCAAGAGUCGAGUCAUCAGGGAGGCAGGUGAUAGGUAGAGUUUUUGCCUUGACCCCAAUAGAGGCAGAGGAUGACGCUAUGAUUUUGGUCUAUAAUACUUGGGUGGGUGUUUUGUUUGAUAUUAGUGCAACUCAUUCUUUCAUUUCUGCAUCUUAUGCUAAUGCAUUGGGGUUGAAAACAGAAAUGGUAGAAAAUCUAUAACUUAUCGAAUCCCCUAUGGGUACGAAUUCUAGAGUUGAUAGAAUAUGCAAGGGUUGCAUUAUUACCUUGGCAAAUAAGGUGGAUUUGAGGAUUUUGGAUAUGACUGGGUAUGAUGUUAUCUUGGGAAUGGAUUGGUUGACAGUAUAUAGAGUGCUUAUUGAUUGUCAUCACCGUAGGAUAAUAUUUUGUCUGUCAGCUUGGAUUAUGAGUAAUCCUUAGGAUCAAACCUUUGAUAUGGCCAUGGGGUCAUGGGCCAAAUUCUAGCGCUCAGAAUUUGGGUCGUGACAUACCCAUUGGGGAAAUUUUCUAUGGGAACCAAGGACGUGGUCUGGGCCACAAGAAAAGAGAGCAUUGGGCAGUGAAUUCUGUCUCCUUGAACAGACUUGGAAUGACUGAGUUUCUUGAUUGAUGAUGCAGAAAUCCAAAUUCUGAUCAGAUCACUACUGCGCUUAUAAUGAAGAAUUUUCUCUGGAGGGGAUCCAUUUUGUGAAGCAAAUGUAAAAGCAAAUAACACAUUUAUCACCAAACACACUUAUAAGCAUCAGUAGCAUAUUCCAUAUUCAACCAUAAAAAAGUACAGAAGUAACAAGAAUCACUAGUGCAUGCAACAUGCAACGUGUUCUGUAAUGGAGGAAUACAGAACCCUCCUCUCAAGUCAUCUCCACAUAUAUGGUUUAUAUAGGUGUAGGACCUAGAAGAAUGAAAGACACAAGCUUGGUGCCCAGCCCAUCAGACUUUGGUAUCAGUUGUAGUGCGAUGAUGAUAGAGCAUACAUGCAGAGAGGGCAAAGUAGCCUAUCACAUGUCCAGCGAUAGCUGCAAGGAAAACUCCAACAUUGAAGGUGACGACCGAGAGCACCACCAAGUAGAAAAGGCACUUGCGCAGGCCAUGCCUCAUGGCGUAGAGAAGCAGGGUCAUAGGGGCCAUCUGUUUGUUGGCAGGCAUGGAACACAUUCCACAAAUCGGAGUAAGGAGGGCAAGCACAAAGACCAGAAGUAGAGCCAAGUAGUAAUGCAAGAGGAUGUAAUUACCAGGCCAUCCAGGGAACAGGACCAUCACAUUGGUCCCGACCCAGAAGCUUGUGUGUGCCACUGCCUUCUCGGUGGGCAGCACUGGCAUGGGACCGCCAGAGGAAGCCAUUUCUGGGAAGGAAAAUCUUCGACAAAACUCUGGAAAUUUGGUAAUGGUGAUGCAGUGAUGAGGUUUAUAAAUAGAAGAGAAACUCAAAAUCCAAAAGAAAAGCAAAGUGUUGGCCAUGGUGAGGAGUGACUUGGAUUUGAGUGUAUCACCAUUCAUCUCUGUUGGCAGAACUAAAUUACGCCUCUUUCUUUAUAUUCCAGGGCAUAUUCCUCAAAAUUUCCUUAAGUCUAUUUUAGCAUUCAAUUCACUAUAUUCCUCUAUGCUAUUAGAUUCCCAAGCCUAAAUCAGUUUUGUUGCACUUCACUUGGAAUGCAUCGACUACUCGAUCAGCCCGUGGGAGUUGAAGGGAGCAAUGCCCUCGGGAGAAACAUUUUUUAUGAAAUGAAUGACGAGUUUGCCCCAUUAUAUAUAACUGUUGUUAUUCCUUUUGACCAGUAAACUGUCAAGUGUUGGUGUAUUCCAUUAAUGUAAAAAUCACAUUGAUAGUUAACAACAUUAAAAAUCUUGUAUUCCUUUUUAUUUUCUAUUCAUAUAUGUGCAUGAUUUGGUUAAUAUAUCAAAAAGAAAAAUCUUGUUAAAUGCAGAAAAUUAGGUAAUCUCAAAGAAUAGAACAUAUAUGCAGCUCUGCUUUAUGCUUUGGCCAGCUUAAGAGACUUCCUAGCUUCCACCUUUUAAUGGUAAAGAUGUGAGAGAUGCCCCCCUCUCCUUUUUCCAUUUUAAACAGUUUUAGUUCCUUCCACGACUUUACAUGUGAAAAUAGCUUAUUUUACCUCUUGUCUUUCACUUAGGUUUGGACUCUUAAGUCAUUAUUCCCUUCUAAUCCUAUUUUUGCACAUCUUCUGCGCUCCUAUUAUGCCCAAUGUGUCAUUAUUUCAUUGUCACAACCAACCUCGCAUUAAUUAAGACCUCUUAUAGGAUGGUUAAUUUUGAUCUUUGGUAGAGAAAAUUGACUAUAAUUUAAUACUCUUUAAUUAAGAGUUAUCUUUGUGUUCUUGACCUAUUCCAAUUUUGGGAAGCGUGUGACAUUGUAUCUUAUACAACUUUUGUUUGGAGCACAUUCGGAAGCCGAUGUGGCAAUGCGGUAGACAAUGCUGCAACAGUGUAGAGGUAUAAAGGGGUAAAAUUAUAGGAGAUCUGUUGAAGUGUAAGCAUACAAAAGGGAGCCAGGACAAUUUGGAAGUUAUUGGUCUUAGAUAAUUUACGUAUUUUAUCUCAAAAAGGGAAUAUGAAUUAGGAGUUCGUUUCAAGGGAGAUUGACCCACCAACAUGCAUGGAUGAUACAAAAUCAACCACUAGGAAAUUUAUAAAUAUGCAGUUGUAGGCAUUCAAAGGGGAGUCGUCCAUUCACCAAUCAAACUGUUCAUAUUAAUUUCACACUUACAGUUUUUCAAAGGGAAAUUUAACAGUCCUUAUGUCGUUUGCAGUGCUUCCCAAGAAAAGGAGGGAAAAGAUGAAACUCAGCGCUCAAAGAGCCAUUCGCAUUAGUAAAAGAGAAAAAACAUGAAAGUUGAUGAUAAUCAAUUAAUAUUGAGAAAGGCAGCAACCAAAGUGAGAUUGUCAAUUGCAAUGAAACUAAUUAUAGAUUGUCAAUUUUUUUUGUCUCAUUGUAACAACCAAAGCUAGGUUAACUUAGCCCAAAUAUAUAAUUUUGGGUCCAUAACCUUUUAUAUAUAUAUAUAUAUAUUAUUAGGAUUUCACAUCGAAGGUGAAGAGAGCAUAAUUUCUCCCUACUAAAAACUUUCGAGUAAGAAGUCUACUUCAAAAACAGUUUCCAUUUCUUUAGAAUGUAUUGUUAUUUUAAUUUAGAAAAAAAUUAACUAGGAAAAAUUAAUGGGAAAAUAUUUAAAUAAAUAAACUGCGGUGUUUAGGCAAAUUAAAAACUCAAAAAUCUUAAACCUAGAAUUUGUUUGUGAAGAUUUGAGUAGAAGAAAUCAACCUUAAAUGAAAGUUUGGAUAUGAUGGAAAUACUAAUCUUAUAUAUUUUUAUUAUAGGUUGUAAUGAUGAGAUCAAAUCUCAUGUCCAUGAAUGUUUUGUUGUUUUUUGUUGUUAGGGGUGAAUUCAUAAGGUAUGCAUGUAGAGACUAUAUGAUGAUUGUGGGGAACUUUGAGAAUAGUGCAAUGUGGCUAUAAGAAUUUUUGUGUUGUAUUUUGAGGCUAUAAAAUACUAUGACGUUAUUUGGCAAUAGGCAGAUAUUUAUAAAAGUGGAGGUUUUAUAGGUGUUUAAUUUUGGUGUGGUGUUGUUCUUUGGGGAAUUUGACAUGAGCAUUCAUGCAAUUUUCGUGUAUUAUAAAUUUUCUUUUGGGAGACUAUACCUUUGUUGAAUAGAAAAAUUAAUUUGAAUGAAAGGUCAAAUAAAUUUUAUUCUUUACUGAAGAAAUUUGAGUAAUUUCUUGGGAAAACAAAUUCAAUUAUACCUAAAUAAUUAAAAUUGGAUAUUUUCUUACAUAACUUAAUUCACCUGAUUUUGGCAUGAGGUUAAAUAAUAAUUAAAUAUAUUCUAGAGUAUAAUAAUUUUUAGAACUUUAGUCUAAAGAAUAUUCUUAAACUUUAUUUUUUACAAGAAUGAAUUGGCAUCAUUAAGAAUGUUGAACUAAAAAUUUCAAUUGCAUCUACUACAAAAUGGAAUAACAUAAUCCCUAAAAAGUUAGAUAUGUUUCACUGUAUGAAAAAAAAAAUAACUACAAUAUUUAUAAGUAAAAAAGGAAUUGUUUUUUUCCCAUGAUUUACAAGCAAAACAAAAGUGUCACUAUUCCCUAAAAUCAUUCUAGCUUUCUUCCCAAUGUUGAAAUCCUAAAAAAUUAGAUAUCUUUCAAUAUAUAAACAAAAGCAACUAUAAUUUUUAUAAGUAAAAAGGCAAAUGGUUUUUUUUCCCCUAAUAUACAAGCAAAACAAAAGUGUCACUAUUCCCAAAGUCAUGUUCAACUGAGUAAUUAACAAUUUCUUACUAAGCCUUUUGCUUGACUAGUUUUUUUAUUUAUUUAUUAGAACCUUUAGUUUUCUUUUGUAGAGUGCUUAACCUUCUCUAUGUUGAGAAAGGAGGAAACCAAGACAACAAUGUUCUAAUUGAAUUCAAUCUCUAAGGUGGGGCUAGGAUUGUUGUAUGUUAUUCAAUGCUUUUUCAAUAUUCUUUAUACACCUAAGUUAUAACCAAUAAAAAAUAAAAUGCCACUUAUUUCUUGUCAUAUUUUAGUUGGUAUGAGUGCAUAUACAUGAUAGAUAAAUUUGUAGAUAUAUAUAGAGAGAGAGAGACAGAGAUAGAGAGACAAAGAGAACAAAGAAGAAAAGAAACACAAAUACUAGCUAGUUCAAAAUUAAGGAUACACCCUUAAUUUCCAUAUUACAAUUCUAAUCUCAAAUGUACUCAAAGGAAGACUAUUCAUUUUAUAUUCUUUUAUUAGUUUUGUACUGCAAAAUAAGAGGCCAAUAAGGACAGGGAUAGGGAAGGAAAUUAGUAUUAAUUAUUAAUCCUAAUGCCAAAGAUGGGCUUUUCAAAUUCAUUCUGGCAAAAGUUUUUUUUUUUUUUUCUUUAUAUACAUAUUAUUUAUAGAAAGGAAUGGGGAAGAAAAAAAGGAGAUGUUCCUUCUUGGUGUAUGAGUUGUUGUGGUUAUGGAUUGUAGUUGCUGCAAUACAAUCUCAUAUUGAUCUUGAUAUAUUUUUCUUAUUUUUCAUUCUAUGAUGGUUUCAACAAGGAUUUCAUCAAGUCAAAAAAGGAAACGAGCUCCCACACACAAUAUUGCAUUACAAGGGUUAACGCUAGGGAAGAAGGUAAAAGUUGCAUUUAAUGAAUACAAUCAAUUGGUUAAAUAGAAAAAAGGAAAACGCUUACCAAGUUACAUAUAGACCCUUGUACGUAACCAACAUAAUGUACCUUUCCAAGCUAGUGUUUGGAAAAAUGUUUCCGAUGAUGCAAAAAAGAAAGUAUAGGCCUUUGUUUUGGUAUGUUGUAUUUCUCACUAUAUGAUAUUGUUAGGAUUAAGCCCCUAAAAGUAAGACAUGAUGUAACAAAGUUAGACUUAACAAAGUCGCUUAAGCCCAAUAGGAAGCCUAUAAAUACCCCUUUAAGGGUUAGGGUUUCUAAGUCUUAUCAUUUUCCCUUUCAGUCUAGAGAGAGAAUUCUAGUCUCCACCCUUGAUAUCUUCACCAUCUUAGUGCCUAGUUAUAAGGAAGAGUCAUCGGGCGGAAGAUCAUGAUGUUUACAAGAUUCAUUAUGACUUUGGAGUUAUUUACAUUGAUUAGAAUUGAUCUAGGAACAUCUAGAUCAAAGGUAUGUGACUUUAUUCUCUAGAUCUAUGUUUUCUAUGGUAUUCAUAUUGUGUUUGAAUACUUAUUUAUUCGUUGUGAUAGAUUUAAAGAGCUUAAGAUAGAUUUGCAUGCACCCUACACAAUCCAGGGCAUGGGAACGGAGUAAUCUAGGGUUCCCAACAAAUAUGUCAUUUCAUUGUUAUCCUAUUUUGUGACUAACAUUUGAAAUCAUUUGUAGGAUGAAAGCAAAAUACUAUGACUCUUGGCAUAUGGAUGCAGAAAGGUUGAUGCACAAACCACCAUUUGUCUUUGAUGUUGAUUGGAAGUGGCUUAUCCAUUUUUAGAGCUCAAAAAAGGCACAAGUAAUUAAAAUGUUUGUAUAAUACAAUGUUAAAUUGAAUGCCAAUAUAUUAUGUAAUGUAUUUGUUUUAAAUGCAGGCCAUCUCUACAAGGAACAAGGAAAGUAGAGCUAAACAGAAAAUCAAUCAUACCUCAAGAUCCAAGAGUUUUGCAUAACUUCGCUAUGAACAUGUUAGCAAUUUUUUUUAAUAAUAUGUUGUGUUCAUUAUGACAAGUUUAUUAUAAUGUAAUAAUUGAGGAUGAUAGGGCCAGUUGAGGGAAGAUGUCAUACAACCUAAUUGGAUAGAGAUGUUUAAGCUUAUGCAUGCACAUAAGAAUGGAACACCAGUUGAUGAAGUGUUUCAUGAAAUUAUGGUGAAUAAUUGGUUAUCUUCUAAUAAUUCUUAUGGAAUGAAAAUUUAUGGUACAUUUUCAUUAUACGUUUUAACAAUUAAUCUUCCAUAAUAUUCAUUGUAGGCUAGGUUUGAUGAGCUUUUAGCAGCUCAAAUGUAAUCACACACCAAGGAGUCUUCAACAUCCACCCCAUCCUCAAUUGUGUCAUCCACUCCACUAUUGGUGGAUGACAUAUAUACAUAGGUAAUGGGUCGAGAGAGACAUGGUCGUGGACAUGGUCUGGGGUUUGGUCCAACUCCUACAUCAAUUUUUGAAGCCACAAGUAGAAGAGAGACAAAUGUUGCCCUUGCAUCAAAGCUUAAGGAUACAUAGGAAGAAUUAAUGCAUUUCAAACAAAUGCAUCGAGAACAUGAAGAAAGUAUGCAAACAAGAAUUCAAUAGCAAUAAGAACAAAUGGAGUUGAUGCAACAACACAUACAACAAAUGCAACAAACGAUAUAGAAAAGGUUGCAAUAGGCAACGUAGCUAACAAGGCCCCUCUUCCAAUUUCAACACGUUUUUUUUUCUUUUUUGGCUUUUCUAGUUUGGGAUAAAGGAGAUUUCAAUGUCAUUUUUUAUUCUGUAUGCAAUGGUUUAAGCUUUGACAUAAAACUUUUUUGUUCAUGAUUGAUGUUUUUGUAGAAAUGAAUCUUCCUACUCAUCAAUUUGAAUGCUUUGCCAAUUAAAGUACUACACACUUAUAAAGAAAGGUUCUUUUGGCUUUAGGCAUCUAUUUAGAUUUCUUAAUUGCUAUCUUGUUUUUUGUUGGUGUUUAAAUAUAAAGGUUUUUUGUAUACAUUUUUUAUGUUUAUAUUGGUUUUUUGUAUGCUUUUCUAAUUCUAUAUAAAUGAGUUUAAAUUUAUGCAAGAAUUGAAUCAUUUAAUCAUAUAAAUCAUAAAUGGUGGCAUCAAUGGACUGGCCAAUAGUGAUUACGUAUAGAGGCUUGGUUUCUGCACAUCGAUUAAAAAUUAUCGAGGACCUCUUCAAAUAUAUAGAAGAUCAAAAGAGAGCCAUAGUUCAUGCAGGAAUGAUAAGGUAAGAAUCAAAAGUAUCCUAUUCAGCUAGUGCUCUAUUUAUAGUUUUCUUAUUUCCUGGUCUUGUUUUUUCCUUAAAUCUUUUCAAGGAACUCUUACUUGCUUUCAAGAGUUCAACUAGCCUCAAACCUUUGAGGAUUAUCUUCUUCAAGUAUAUAUUUGCCUUUGGAUUGUGGUACUACUAAUCAUUUUACAUAUUACUAAAGCCAAUUGUUGUUGUUCGAGUUACGCAUUUAAGCACCAUUGGUUAUAUACAUUGCUUAUUUUGCGCAAAAGAAACAUCACCAAAAGGAAAGGUAAUUUUGUGCCAUAAGCUCUACCAUAGAUCUUCUGCUAUUUUCUUUUCAAAUCAUACUUGGCAUAAUUGAGAAAAUUGUAGAGGUUUUCUAUACAAUAUUUUCUUUUCUUUUUUUCUUUCAAUUCAAGAAACAAGGCAAAUCAUGUGUUGCACUUGUAUGAUAGUGACAGCAAUGUGAAACACUUGAUAGACUUGAAGAAAUUCAAAGAUGAUGAUAAGAAAGGGAUUGAUGUACCAUUUUUCAACUUAGAAGACAUCUUGGCUACUAUAGAUAACUUUUCAAAUUUGAAUAAGCUUGGACAAGGGGGCUUUUGACUAGUUUACAAAGUAAUAGUCCUUUAUUUCAACAAUAAUCACAUUUUCAACUUUGUUCUUAAUUUUUGAAUUAUUAGGUCUUAUCUAGCUUCUAUUCUAUUGAGUUGAUUUGCAUACAUCUAUAUUCCUCUGAAGCUUUGCUUUGUACCUUGGUGUCAUUACAAGAAUCUAUUCUGUAUUCAUGCUUUCACAAGACAUCAAGCAAAGUCUCUAACUAUCCUAUUUUGCUUUCCUGAUCAUAUCUUAUCCCUCACACUACUUUACCUUUGGUAUAGUUUUUUGUAUAUGUGCAGGUUAUAAGGUUGGAAGAUAAGUACUACAAAGUGAUGCAAAACAUUCCCUUAGUUUAUUUUUAAUUAAGCAUUAAUGUGUAUUAUAUAAACUCCUUUAUGAGAGUUCGGGUGGGUUUAUGUACUAAUGCUUUGUCACAAAAUUUCCAAAGAGGGAGAUCGUUAAGACAUUAAGUCUUUGUUUUUUUGCUAGCAAUUUUGUUCAUUUUUAUGUUUGGCCAUAGAAGUCUUUUUAGAUAGUGACUUGCUCUCCAUUGAAGAUCAAGGGUUGUUGUUCGUCCAACCAAGAAGUCACAAGUACAUUUAAAGAUGUUUGACAUGUGGCAUAUUAGACUCAUUUGAAGUAUAAAAUGGUUCGGUAUCAUUUUUGGACUUAUAAUGUUUUAAAAGGAUUUUUAAAAGAAGUAGGAAGCGCUCAAGCGAUCAACCCGAUCAAGCAGUAAUGCACGGGCGGAUUGUUCAAGUGGUGUAAGUCUGCUCAAGUGGUUAUGACAGUCCUGUCGAGUUUAUAAACUAAUUUUGGAUGAAUUUCACUCAAAAUCUAUUUUGGAAACUUAAAAUACCAAAACUCUUUAUAGUUUUUGCUUAUAAAUACCUCCCUAAUAACCCCUUGAGGGUUUGAAAUUUAGGCUUAAAGAUAUUAAAUAUUGGAGAUAUAUCAUUUAAUUUUAGAGAGGGACUCCUUGAGAGAAAGUCUAAUAUACCACACCAUUAUCAAUCUUUCAUUCAAGGAUUUGAUCUUUGAAUCGUGGAUUGAAGACUUUAAUCCCUUUAGAGUGGUUGAAGGAUCUACUAGGGAGCAACAAAGAGUUGCUACGUCACGAACGUGAAUCAAGUUGUAGGUAUUGGAGGGUAAGUAUUUAAGGUAAAGUGAUCAGAUAAAUCUGCGUAACUUGAUUUUGAACACUAGAUUUAGGUGGUGUUUGUUUUUUUGACUUUUUGCUAAAAGCAAUUUAGUUUUAGAAUUUAGGUUGUUUGUUUAUCUACUUUUUCAUGACUUAUUAUAAACUUUUUACUAAAUAAAAAAAGCCAAAAUAUGUAGUUUUUUCUAAAUAGAAAAAAUAACAUAUUGAUUUUUUUUACUUUUUAAUACUUAAUAGAAAUAAAAUACUACAAAAACAAACAACCUAAUAUUUAACACUAUUAAGCAUUAAGGUUCUAUUUAGAAUUAAGUAAAAAAACAAACACCACCUUAGAUUAGUAGGUCUUAGACCUCAUGGUUUAACUCCACGGUUUUUGGGGGUUCUCCAUGUAAAAAUCUUGUGUCUCAUUUCAUAUUUUUAUUUUCCUAGUCAUAUUAUGUUUAAUGAUAUUGGUAUCUUAUUGAAUGAUUGGUUAGUUUGUUAAUGAGGUUGUUGCGUUAAUUAUCUUGGGGGUUAUGAUAUUUAUACCUAUAACCAAUUAUUAUUUUCCCUAACUUCUCUAAAGAUAUAUUUUGGAUAUUAAUAACUAUAUUAUUUUAUCCCUAACUAAUCACAUGAUAUUUCUAAAAAGGUAAAAAUCAAUUUCUUUUAUAAGUUUUGAAUAUCGAGGACUUCCCUGAAAUUUAUUAGGUUAAAAGAAUUGGGCAUAAUAUUUUAAAUAUUUUAAAAUCACCUAUUCACCCUCUUUGAGUGUUCCUUAUUGGACUUUUUGUGGUUUUUCAAAAUGCACAAUUUGCAUAUAUAUGUCCGAAAACUAAACAAAUAUAUAUACCAUAACAACGAGGAAUAAGAUAUCUAUGCAUGUCCGAUGAAAUUUUAAAAUAAGAAAUUCAAAGCAAAAAAUGUUGUUUUUGAAUAUUUCUUAAUUCACUUGUAUAAAAUCUAUAUUUUAUAAUAGAUAUUUUGUUGAAUGACCUCCUUUUGGACAAUCUCUUUUAUUUUAGAUAAAAUCAACUCAAGAUUGUGAAAACACCUCAAUAGAGCUAAAAACUUCAUAUCCAACCUUAAAGAGGUAAAAAUCUUGACUAAUAAAAAAUCAUGAUCAUAUUAUACAAAAUCAUCUAUUUUGUACCUAAAAGUUGCACAUAUUUCUUAGCAAAUCAUCAAUUUCAUACAGUAGACCCAAAAAAUCUCAAAUCUAAACUAAAACUAAGCCAUAUAAUAUAAGAGCAAUAACAAAAUCACGAAAGCGAAUAUACUUGAAGCGAUUCUUUUCCAUCACGCCUCUCUCUUUAUACUUGUCUCUCUGUGCCCCUCUUCUACCGUCAACUCUUGCCUUUUGUCUUGUCCAGUUGGAGCAUAAAUAAUAAGGAUUUAUAGGAUUGGUGGGGGAGCAGCAUGAGAUCUAUGGUUAGAGACCAAAAUCGGAGUUAUUUUGGGUUUCGAAAAGGAAUAUGAGAUUUGACAUUUUGGGAAAUUUUGCCUUUAUUGAGGACUGAUAACAAUUGUAUGGACCGAAAUAUGAUUGCUUAGGGCCUCAAACAUAAAUGUGAGAUUGAGGAAGUUAAGAUUGUUUUUUUUUUUCUUGUCACCUCACCAUUUCUUACGUGGCAAUUCAUUUACAUUUAAGAUUUUUUUUUUUUUCAAUGUGUUAAGGGUAUUCUUGGCAUGUGUUGUUCGUAAUAGGAUUGAGAAGUCCUUGAGGUCAAUUUUAUGCUUACUUAUAUAACCUUUGGGCCCAAUUAACAAUAUUUCAUUAACCUCAGCCCAUUAUGAAGGAGACCCUAAAGCACAAUUCUCAAUGACACGAAUUGGGUUGGCUCCGGAUAGAAACUCGCAUCCCAUUACAUCCUUUACCAUCUAAAUGCUUUAUCAUCCCAAUUCCAAUUUUAAAACAAGAGGGGCUUUGAAAGCUAAUUCAUAUAUAAUAGCCCUACGCCACCUCAUUUAAAAUGUUUAAUUAUUAUUAUUAUUUAUAAAAUAAAUAUAAUUUAUAAAUAAUUUAAUUAAAUUUCAUAGAAUUUUAUAUUUUAUUUUAUGACCAAUUAAAAUUACAUUUUUAUUUUGUGUUGAAAAAGGACAAAAUGAAAAAAAAAAACUCAAUUAUAAAACCACAAACUUAUUCGAUUAAGAGUGGAAUGGGGUGGAAUGGGGUUAGGUCUCCAAAAAUACCCACUCAUUGACCAUUCCUAAUUUUAUAUUGGAUUUGUGUAGCAUCUUUUGGACACGUAACCGAAGAUUUUCUUCCUCUCGACCAAAACAUUGAAGUAUUGUUAAUUAAGAAGGCCAGGCCACAAAAAAUAUAAUUGCUAAAUAAAUUCAAAGAUAAUGUAGCAAAUGGGCACUAAAGAUUGAUGCAUAAAAUUUACUUAGCUUGGCUGACUAAUAGAUAAAUUAAGUACUUCGACUUAAUCAUGAGGUGGACAAACAACUGAAUUUCAUCUUGGAGACUUAAUCAUGAGGUGUUAAUGACUCCUCACCACGAACUGAAUAUUGUUAGAUAACUAAACAACAAACCCCUAAAAGUUUGUUACCCUAAUCUUUCCAGUGACGUGUAUUUUAGCAGUCAAACUGUGGUUAAUAAACUUAUUUGGCCCAACUCACCUACAACAUUGGCAUUCUUUGUCAAUGGAAUUUAGUUGAAUAGGAAAACUACCCCUCUACUUCAAAUGGUUUUCCAAGUUUUCCCACCAAACACGAUGGCCAAAUCACCUACCUAGAGGCCAAAGUUUCCCACAUCCACCUAUAAAAACCCAACACCAAGCUAUGGAUUCGCAACUCGAGUUUCAAGUAAAACGCAGCUUCAUUCAAAUCUACAUACGCACCACUCUAAUCUCAUUCAGCAAUGGCCUCUUGCAAUUGCUUCAUCUUAUCUCUCUUCGUUCUACUCUCAUUCUCGAGCAUUGAUGUUAGCCUAGCGGCACGUCGUCUUUUGGACACUACUCCGCCCUCUGCGCCAACGAUACCUGUUAUACCCAGUCUGCCAAAACCAACGUUGCCACCUUUGCCUUCAUCACUCCCAACUCUGCCGACUUUGCCUUCACUCCCAACUCUAUCCAACCCUUCAAUUCCUCCUUUGCCGUCUCUUCCAACUAUGCAACAGCCCACAUUGCCAUCCUUGCCGAAGGCCACACUGCCUCCACUUCCUAGCAUGCCCACCAUGCCCUCUAUCCCGAAGCUCACGUUGCCUCCACUCCCUACAACUUUGCCAACCAUCCCAACUACUAUGCCUUCAAUCCCAUUUCUCUCCCCCCCACCGGCGACCACUAGUCCUUGAGAAUAUUCAUGUACUCUCCUAAGAAGACACGGUGCCACUACAGUUGGCUAUCUCUGAAG